Molecule: ribosomal RNA, 425 nt
Filed under: uncultured bacterium
Lineage: Bacteria
Description: bacterial SSU rRNA
Rfam family: Bacterial small subunit ribosomal RNA
Source: RNAcentral
GUGGGGAAUUUUGCGCAAUGGGGGAAACCCUGACGCAGCGACGCCGCGUGAAGGACGAAGGUCUUCGGAUUGUAAACUUCUUUUAUAGGGGAAGAUAAUGACGGUACCCUAUGAAUAAGCCACGGCUAACUCUGUGCCAGCAGCCGCGGUAAGACAGAGGUGGCAAGCGUUGUUCGGAAUUACUGGGCUUAAAGGGCGCGUAGGCGGUGGUACAAGUCUAAGGUGGAAGCCCGCGGCUCAACCGCGGAAUUGCCUUGGAAACUGUAUCACUUGAGUCAGUGAGGGGAGGGCGGAAUUCCUGGUGUAGCAGUGAAAUGCGUAGAUAUCAGGAGGAAGGCCGGUGGCGAAGGCGGCCCUCUGGCGCUUGACUGACGCUGAGGCGCGAAAGCGUGGGGAGCAAACAGGAUUAGAAACCCGGGUAGUCC